Molecule: ribosomal RNA, 322 nt
Filed under: uncultured eukaryote
Lineage: Eukaryota
Description: partial 18S ribosomal RNA
Rfam family: Eukaryotic small subunit ribosomal RNA
Source: RNAcentral
CCCUUAGAUGUUCUGGGCCGCACGCGUGCUACACUGAGUGGAUCAGCGGGUCAGGUUGCGCGAAAGUGUUUCCUAAUCUUUAAAUCCGCUCGUGAUGGGGAUUGACGGUUGCAAUUUUCCGUCAUGAACGAGGAAUACCAUGUAAGCGCGGGUCAUCAUCCCGCGCUGAAUACGUCCCUGCCCUUUGUACACACCGCCCGUCGCUCCUACCGAUUGAGUGGUCCGGUGAGGCUUUGGGAUCUGAGCGGAAAGAGCGUUUCGCUGUUUCUGCCCGGAAAACUCAGUCGAACCUUAUCAUUUAGAGGAAGGAGAAGUCGUAACA